RNAcentral lists this ribosomal RNA (973 nucleotides) under human gut metagenome. Its description in RNAcentral is "bacterial LSU rRNA". It matches the Rfam family "Bacterial large subunit ribosomal RNA", at positions 1953 to 2925 of the family's 2925-position model. The record is from RNAcentral.
AAGGUAGCGAAAUUCCUUGUCGGGUAAGUUCCGACCUGCACGAAUGGCGUAACGAUCUCCACACUGUCUCGGCCAGAGACUCGGUGAAAUUGAAGUCGCGGUGAAAAUGCCGUGUACCCGCAGAAAGACGGAAAGACCCUGUGCACCUUUACUAUAGCUUGACAUUGGGAUUUGAGCCUGCAUGUGUAGCAUAGGUGGGAGCCUGUGAACCCUGUACGCCAGUAUGGGGGGAGGCAACGUUGAAAUACCACCCUUGUUUGUUCAGGUCCCUAACUCUUCGCCGUUACCCGGUAAGAGGACAGUGUCUGGUGGGUAGUUUGACUGGGGCGGUCGCCUCCCAAAAUGUAACGGAGGCAUGCAAAGGUUCCCUCAGGCUGAUUGGAAACCAGCCGUCGAGUGCAAACGCAGAAGGGAGCUUGACUGCAAGAGAGACAUCUCGAGCAGGUACGAAAGUAGGUGUUAGUGAUCCGGUGAUCCCGAAUGGAAGGGUCAUCGCUCAUUGGAUAAAAGGUACGCCGGGGAUAACAGGCUGAUCGCAUCCAAGAGUUCACAUCGACGAUGCGGUUUGGCACCUCGAUGUCGGCUCAUCACAUCCUGGGGCUGAAGCAGGUCCCAAGGGUACGGCUGUUCGCCGUUUAAAGUGGUACGCGAGCUGGGUUUAAAACGUCGUGAGACAGUUUGGUCCCUAUCUUCUGUGGGCGUAGGAGAAUUGAAAGGGCCUGUCCCUAGUACGAGAGGACCGGGAUGGACACACCACUGGUGGACCUGUUGUCGUGCCAACGGCACAGCAGGGUAGCUAUGUGUGGAAGGGAUAACCGCUGAAAGCAUCUAAGCGGGAAGCCUGCCUUAAGAUAAGUUCUCCCUGACGCAAGUCCUGAAGGGCCGAGGUAGACGACCUCGUCGAUAGGCUGGAGGUGGAAGCCCUGUGAGGGGUGGAGCUGACCAGUACUAAUAGCCCGUGCGUCUUGUUUCU